UGCAAAAUCCUAUGAACCAUUGAGUCUUUGAAUGCAAGUUGAGCCCAAAGCCAUUAGGGUAUGGGCACGUCUGCCUGGGCAUCUCGC
Molecule: ribosomal RNA, 87 nt
Filed under: Couratari guianensis
Lineage: Eukaryota; Viridiplantae; Streptophyta; Magnoliopsida; Ericales; Lecythidaceae
Description: partial 5.8S ribosomal RNA
Source: RNAcentral